AAAAAAUCAUAAAUUUGAAGCUAACAAUCUGAUUUUAGACCAAAAUUACAACAAAGUGAAGAUGGAGACCAAAAAUCCAAAAUUUAAAAAGAAAGACCAAAAAUGUGUUGGAUAGCCAAAGUACAUUGUUAACAAUUUAUCGGCAAAAAUAAAAUUUAAAAUCCCGGGAUUUUCGACAUUCACCCAGCACAAGUGUUCAACACGUUUGUAAAUAAAUUAUUUCACCAAGUUACAAAAAGUUAAUUGUCUAAAAUCAAGAGACAACAUGCUGUUUACUAAUCAUAAUCUUCAAUAUGUUUGGCAUGCACUACGGUUUCAUCUUUCUCCUAAUGGAAACAAAUAAAAUACAACCAUCUUUUAGUUCAUUCUGUUUUCUUCUUCGUUCACUUCAUAUUCUUC
RNAcentral lists this long non-coding RNA (399 nucleotides) under Lathyrus oleraceus (garden pea). RNAcentral's name for it is "Pisum sativum (pea) long non-coding RNA (PSAT_LNC008937)". The record is from RNAcentral. Lineage: Eukaryota; Viridiplantae; Streptophyta; Magnoliopsida; Fabales; Fabaceae.